Molecule: ribosomal RNA, 471 nt
Filed under: uncultured organism
Description: partial 16S ribosomal RNA
Rfam family: Bacterial small subunit ribosomal RNA
Source: RNAcentral
ACUCCUGCGGGAGGCAGCAGUGGGGAAUUUUGGACAAUGGGCGAAAGCCUGAUCCAGCAAUGCCGCGUGAGUGAAGAAGGCCUUCGGGUUGUAAAGCUCUUUUGUCAGGGAAGAAACGGUGAGAGCUAAUAUCUCUUGCUAAUGACGGUACCUGAAGAAUAAGCACCGGCUAACUACGUGCCAGCAGCCGCGGUAAUACGUAGGGUGCAAGCGUUAAUCGGAAUUACUGGGCGUAAAGCGUGCGCAGGCGGUUUUGUAAGUCUGAUGUGAAAUCCCCGGGCUCAACCUGGGAAUUGCAUUGGGGACUGCAAGGCUAGAAUCUGGCAGAGGGGGGUAGAAUUCCACGUGUAGCAGUGAAAUGCGUAGAUAUGUGGAGGAACACCGAUGGCGAAGGCAGCCCCCUGGGUCAAGAUUGACGCUCAUGCACGAAAGCGUGGGGAGCAAACAGGAUUAGAAACCCGUGUAGUCCCA